This 495-nucleotide ribosomal RNA is filed under the name uncultured bacterium. RNAcentral's name for it is "partial 16S ribosomal RNA". It matches the Rfam family "Bacterial small subunit ribosomal RNA", at positions 28 to 507 of the family's 1533-position model. The record is from RNAcentral.
GACGAACGCUGGCGGCGUGCCUAAUACAUGCAAGUCGAACGCUGAAGGAGGAGCUUGCUUCUCUGGAUGAGUUGCGAACGGGUGAGUAACGCGUAGGUAACCUGCCUGGUAGCGGGGGAUAACUAUUGGAAACGAUAGCUAAUACCGCAUAAGAGUAGAUGUUGCAUGACAUUUGCUUAAAAGGUGCAAUUGCAUCACUACCAGAUGGACCUGCGUUGUAUUAGCUAGUUGGUGGGGUAACGGCUUACCAAGGCGACGAUACAUAGCCGACCUGAGAGGGGGAUCGGCCACACUGGGACUGAGACACGGCCCAGACUCCUACGGGAGGCAGCAGUAGGGAAUCUUCGGCAAUGGACGGAAGUCUGACCGAGCAACGCCGCGGGAGUGAAGAAGGGUUUCGGAUCGUAAAGCUCUGUUGUAAGAGAAGAACGAGUGUGAGAGUGGAAAGUUCACACUGUGACGGUAUCUUACCAGAAAGGGACGGCUAACUACGUG